Long non-coding RNA from Sitophilus oryzae (rice weevil), 286 nucleotides. RefSeq lists it as uncharacterized. The record is from RefSeq and is a predicted model, not a curated record. The transcript is spliced from 3 exons. Lineage: Eukaryota; Metazoa; Arthropoda; Insecta; Coleoptera; Curculionidae.
UUCGACAGUCUUGGACAUUUAAAGAAGAUUGCCCAGUACAUGUAAGAUUCAAAGUAUCGUCUGAUGGAAAAGCACUCGAGGUAACAUCGGUUCAAAUGAAGCACAAUCAUGUCACUUCGAAGGUUCUACAUGCACAUAACCCUAGCCAAAGAAAACUUUCCAGUAACAUGAAGGAAAGCGUCAAGGAUUAUUUGAAUAUGAAGGCCAAUAGAAAAAUGAUACAGCAAAAAGUUCAAGAAAGUACUGGUGCCAAUGUAGCUGUUUUGCGAGACGAAGACAAUAAUUU